Molecule: unclassified non-coding RNA, 346 nt
Filed under: soil metagenome
Description: partial contains 5.8S ribosomal RNA, internal transcribed spacer 2, and large subunit ribosomal RNA
Rfam family: 5.8S ribosomal RNA (bases 1-120)
Source: RNAcentral
GAUGAAGAACGCAGUAAAAUGCGAUAAGUAAUGUGAAUUGCAGAAUUCAGUGAAUCAUCGAAUCUUUGAACGCACAUUGCGCCCGCCAGUAUUCUGGCGGGCAUGCCUGUUCGAGCGUCAUUUCAACCCUCAAGCCCUCGGGUUUGGUGUUGGGGAUCGGCGAGCCUUUCUGGCAAGCCGGCCCCGAAAUCUAGUGGCGGUCUCGCUGCAGCCUCCAUUGCGUAGUAGUAAAACCCUCGCAACUGGAACGCGGCGCGGCCAAGCCGUUAAACCCCCAACUUCUGAAUGUUGACCUCGGAUCAGGUAGGAAUACCCGCUGAACUUAAGCAUAUCAAUAAGCGGAGGA